GCCCGGGUGGCGGAACUGGUAGACGCGCUGGUCUCAAACACCAGUAGAUUUUAUUUCUAUGCCGGUUCGAUCCCGGCUCUGGGUA
Molecule: transfer RNA, 85 nt
Filed under: Bacteroidales bacterium OttesenSCG-928-I14
Lineage: Bacteria; Pseudomonadati; Bacteroidota; Bacteroidia; Bacteroidales
Description: tRNA-Leu
Rfam family: tRNA
About the family: Transfer RNA (tRNA) molecules are approximately 80 nucleotides in length. Their secondary structure includes four short double-helical elements and three loops (D, anti-codon, and T loops).
Source: RNAcentral